UGCAGAUUGUACCAAAUCACAGGUCAGUGCGCACGAGCAUGGGAAUGUUUGUAACGAAAUACUUGACACCAAGAAAGGCUCAGAAUUUCCUGUAAAUCACUCAAGUGGGUUCACUGUGAUUCCCACCCUCUCACACCAUGAAGGAAGACUAAAAACAGAAGAGAAAUUUUUAGACUCUGUUACCCCUGGAGACACUGGAAACACUGAGAUCAGUUCUGAUUCAAUGAGUGAUGUUGCACAGAUGUCUCCUGCAGGAACGUCCCGAAUUCAGCAAGAGAAAGAGUUAAUUUUUCAGCCCUCUGAUUGCCAGAUCUCCACCACCACAUCCUCUUUUUCUGCUUCUAUGCUCCAGAAAGGUAUUAAAGAGGAAAAAGAGAUAAGUGUGGAUCAGGCCUCUAAAGAUACACUAGAACCUAACACUCCUAAUUCCACUCCCCAAUCUGAGACAGCCAGCUGGAGGAUGGAGCAGCUUAAUAAGCAUUUGUCAGAGCAAUUCCCAGACGGUACCCAAAACACAGAGGAGCAGGAUACACAGUGUUCUGAACAGCAGCUCAUGCAGUUACAACAUGUAGUAACUUGUUUGGACACUGAAAACACAAUCAGUACUAUGAAAGAAGAAGACACAGUUUCAAAUGGCUUACAACAGCGAGAAGGAAUUCAAGAAGAGAUAAGUAAACAGAUGGCGAAUGAGGAACAGAACAAGGCCACUGAAAAGGAUCACACAGAAAUGUCCAAAGGGGCUGAACCUAAGGCUUCACAGUCUGUAGUGAAAGAAAACAUCUCCAAAGAAAAGUUGGAGGAGCAGUCUUUAUUUUCCCCUGAUGAAGCAAUAGUUGAUAAUGUAGACCAGCAAAUUGAAGAAGUUUCUAAUGGGACACUGACAGAAAUGAAACCGGUUGUGUCAUUGUUAUACCCUGAGACCUCUGUCUGCUUAGUUACUGACCCCCAGGAUUCCCUCCAGUUCCCUCCUGCAGUCAAUCAACAGUCUAGUCAGCAGCCCACAAAGUCUUUUAUCCAAAGUUUACGUCAAAACACCACAAAUACAGUUAAAAGUAGCAGUGAGCCAAGUCCUGACAUAGCAGAUAAUUCUCCUGGAGACAUGGAAUCCCUUCUAAUCAAUAAAGCAAUACAGAAAGAUGACAGUGAAGUUAUUGAAGAUGAAGUCAGCAAGGUGUCAAAAGCUGCAGAUGUGUUGCUGGGUUCAUGCACAGGAACAGUAGAGGUAUCACAGGUUAUCAACAGUUCAGACAGCCAAGUCCUAAGUGAAAUCUUUAUACAUGAGAGGUCAGAUACAGUCAACUCCUCCGAAGGUUCUGAUUGGCUCAGAGCUCUGAAGGAGGCAGCCUCCAUGUCUCAGAUCAUUCCAGAGCACAGAGAUGAGACUACCUGUGGAUCUACAGAAAACAGACCAUUUGAGAUCCACAGUUUGCCUCAGGCUGAACUAGAAUUCCGAACCCCAACUGAAGAAUAUUUUCCCCCUGCACCUGAAGAGAGUUUCCCCCCUGCGCCUGAGGAGAGUUUUCGCCCUUGGCCUGUGGAGAGUUUUCCUCCUGCACCUGAGGAGAGUUUUCCUCCUGCUCCUGUGGAGAGUUUUUCUCCUGCACCUGAGGAGAGUUUUACCCCUGUUACUAAGCAGACAGAAGAACCACUAGACUGCAGGAGCUCAGACUCAGACGGAGCAUUCGAAACCCCUGAGUCCACCACCCCUGUGAAGUCUGCUUCCCCACCAGUGCCCUCAACAGAGCCCCCCUGCACCAAAUCAGAGGGAUUGUCCCCAGAACACACAGGUACGUUUAGAUCUUCAUUCCAUUGCAAUUCACACCACAGAUUGUCUUAUGUGGAG
Molecule: long non-coding RNA, 1843 nt
Organism: Sinocyclocheilus grahami
Lineage: Eukaryota; Metazoa; Chordata; Actinopteri; Cypriniformes; Cyprinidae
Source: Ensembl